This is a long non-coding RNA of Raphanus sativus (radish), 4535 nucleotides long. RefSeq lists it as uncharacterized. The transcript is spliced from 2 exons. NCBI's taxonomy places the organism in Eukaryota, Viridiplantae, Streptophyta, Magnoliopsida, Brassicales, Brassicaceae. The record is from RefSeq and is a predicted model, not a curated record.
GUUUAAAAGAGAGAUCAGACUGUUGGAGAGAUAUCAGGCAAGUUGGAGAAUUAAUUAAGAUAAAAGUCACAUGUGCAUAAGAGGUUGAACCUGCUGUCACUUUCACUCAACCAGACUGUGCCUGCUCUCUCUCCUGUCACUCUCACUGCUCCUGGUCGAGAUUCAGCCCUGCUGCAUCCUCCUGGCUUCAUCAGAAAACCCUACAAUAUUAUUUGUUUAGUAAAAUCCUGUUUUAGUAGUUGUUUAAUGUGUGUGCUUGUCUAUUUAAGACAUUGCUGUAUCUCAUUGUAAACUAAGGAGAGUAAAACUCUUUCUUCACUAUUCUCUGGUUACAUACUCUCAUUCUCUCUAAUCUCUCUUGUUACAAAUGAACUCACUCUCUUUGAUACUCAAGAACUCUCUUAAUCAUUUAUUGUCCAGCAGCAUUCUCCUUGAUUCUCACAUACUUUCUUCAUUCUCUUCUCACUAAAUCCGACCAUACUCUGUCUCUAUUUCAUUCUCACACUCUGUUGUGUUAAUUCUCACAUGGUAUCAGAGCAACAAGCUCUUGAGAACCUAUAAAGCUUCCGCAAAUCAUUUCCAGUUAUUAUUACUCUUUAAAACUCUGUUUCUGUUCAUCCUUGUAUCCUCUGGUCCAAAGCUUUUCCAGGAGGGAAGAGACUCACCAGAACUCAAGAUAAAGGAGAACUUUAGUGUCUGGAACUCAAGAAGGUUUCAGCUCAGUCCAGCAAGCCUCAUCAAAGUCCAGUCUGUUGCAAAACCAGUAGGAACAUUCUAUUGUCCACUGGUCCAAAACUCUUCAAGAUGGAGAACACAAAAGAAAUGGCAACCCAAGAAACUGUCAAGAGUCCAAAGAAGAUACUAAACCACCUCCUCUGGUCCAAAUUGCUGAAGAAAAUUCAUGGAGCCCAUUCUCUGACCACCAAGACCCACGACCAGGAAGAGGACAGGAGGUACUUUAAGUGUGUUCCUGACAUGAAGGAAGAACACAUCAAGGAAAAGUGCUGGGAUCUUCACCCACACCACAAACCUGCCAAGUUCAGAUAAACCAAGUCCAUGGAGGUACAAGGAACUAGCUCAGGUUCCUUGAGUUGUAAGCUAACCUCCUGAACUUUAAUUUGAGCUUGUUUAAUUGUUUAAAUUGUUUCUGGUUCUGUGUGUUAUGUUCUAGGAAUUUACUAGCAAGGUUUUGUCUAGUUUCAGGUUCUAGUUUAAUUAUUUGUGUUGUGUGAUUUGUUUUGUUCUUGGGACAGGCUCAAGUUGCUAGUGUUGGUGAACCUAGUUUCUGUCCCAUGUUACAAAAGUUGUGUUUGUGGUUCUGUUUUGAAUUGUUUCUAAGCUAGCUAGCAUGGUUAUGACUAGUUCUUGCCUUAGAUUAAUUGUUUGUGUUUUCUCUGGUCUAAGUGGGUUGCUUAGUCUCAGUUUCUGUCUUGUUUCAUUGAUAGAGGUCUAGGAGAGUUUCCUGGUCUUGUAUUGCAUCUUUAAAAUUGUUUAUGAUAUUGUUUGCAUCCUUAUGUUGUUCCUGGUCCAGUGUUGCAUUCUUAAAAUUGUGUAAGGUGAUUAGAUGUGUUUUCUAGUCUCUGGCUGUCAUUUAAUCAUUUUGUUGCUUAAAUGAUCAUUAAAAUUAGCCUUCUUGCCUUGUCUGUAAUGAGUUAUCAUACAUAUGCAUUUAGAGAGUUGGUUGCAUGGAUUUGAUUUGAAUGAGUUGUUUAGUUUCUGUCCAUUGCAUUUUCUUAAAACAUUGGGAUCAGGAUUGGUGAUUUACCAAGGUCUGAUCCUAGUGUGUGUAUCUUAUCUUGUUUGGAGGUUGUGUGUUGUUUCAGGAUGUGAUCUGAGUUCAUACAUCUUCCCCCAAGACAAGAGAAAGACAUGGUCCAUUGUAAGAGACAAUGAGAGUUGCUUGUGAUGUAGGGACUGGUUAUAAGAAGCGCAGACUAAGAGGGUUGUUGAGCUCCUGGUCCAAGACACACAAGAAAAGAAGAUCACCACUUGAGGCGUGGUCCAUUGUAAGAGACAAUGAGAGUUGCUUGUGAUGUAGGGACUGGUUAUAAGAAGCGCAGACCAAGAGGGUUGUUGAGCUCCUGGUCCAAGACACACAAGAAAAGAAGGUCACCACUUAAGUCAAGAGGAAGACCGGUGAUCCAAUGGUACUUGAAGCUGAAGGCAGAUGGUGAAUCAGUGAUUUAAGCGCAGCUGUUAGGGUGGUGUGCUCCUGAUUUUAAGCUUAGUGAGGUGCACUUUCAAGCUUGAAUCUAUACUCAAUUCAAGCUUGAGGUGGGAAUCAUGUAAGUGACCUAAGGAGCCAAAGUUCAAGACCUUUUUCCCUCCUUACCAUUACCAAAGAAUGAAGAUGAAGCUAUCAGGGGUUUAGGCAGUGGCGUGUCUGGAGAAGAGGCUGUUCAGAGCAGUCUUGGCUGUGUCAUGAAGAAGGUUACUCUAGCAAAGCGGCUUCAGGUGUUGAGGUGGUUGUGGAGAGCUUAUGAAGACUCAAGCAUUCCGUGAAGAUGGCAGAAUCAGUAGUGAGAGUGUAAUGGUUUGAUGUUGUGAUCUGAUCAUGAAGCUAUCAUCCUUCCAAGCUUGGUUCUUCCUAUACUCAGUCCCAAGCUUGAGGGGGAGUAUUGAGAAGCUUCAAUGAUCAGUAGGAGAGUACUUGGUGGUUCUUCAAAGAAGAGAAGCUAAUCUGGUGAAGGGCAGUUCUCAAGAUAGUUACUGAAGAAGAAGAAGCAACCAAGACUCAAGAAGAAGCGUGUAUCUCUAUGAAUGCAAUCUGGUGGUAAAGUCCAAGCACUUGAACACAGCAGGAGGUUGUGUGAAAGGAGGGGAAUAUCAGUGAGCUACCAGAAGAUCCAUGAAGCUUUCAGUGUUUAGUCUCUCAUUUCCUCAUAGAGGGCCAGCAAGAGGUUGGCAAUUUUAAAGAGGGUCAAAGUGAUCAGUAUGGAGAUGCUGUCACUCCUCAAUGUGCUCACCAGCCAGAUGCAAGGAUAUAAGGAUUAUUCAAUUAGGGACAUUCUUGGCUGAGCAAUCACAUGAUGGUGGCAGAUCAUGGAGCUGCAAAGUCCCCCUUCAUGAUUAAAAUUCAAAAGAAAAAUACAAGGCUGGUUGAGAGAAGAAAAGCGUGGAGGAUUCAAGUGCUCAGCACUCCUCAACAACAUUCUAGAAACUGAUGCAAGGGAAGUACCUAAAACCAUCCUUAUUCUUAUGUGUGAAUAGGUUUGCCCCUUGAGAAUUUAUACAUGCCUUUUUUGCAUUAUUGAAUCAGGUACCUAUUGAGCUCAUGAACAAAGGCAAGCUUUGUCUCAACCCCUAAAUGGAGGCAAGAAGCCAGAAGAAAGGGGGAGACAAGCUCAGGUCAAAAGAAGAAGCUCAAAGGUGAUUUGAUGGUGAAGCAAUUGGCCCUACAAAGUCUGUAUUACAAGUGCCUUGCAAGGCCAUUCAGAAAGGGAUUGAAGUGGGGGAUUCAAGUGAAAGCCAGGAGGGUAAACACUCCUCAUUAUCAUCCCAAAGACAUGUUGGCUUGAUCUCAACCAAGAAGAAGGCAAGAAGCUAGAAGCAAGAGGGAGACAAACUGUGAAAUAAGAAGUGUUCAAGAGGAACAAUUUGAAGUAAGAAGCAAGUGGCGCCUUACUUGCUACUGGAGAGGGCAAGCUGAGUUUGAAGUAUGAUCAGCCUCACUGGUGUUUGAAGAUGAUCUGGUCGCCUCCCAUCCUUUAUAAGAAGAAAUCUUGAAGCUGAUUGAGAGGGGGAGUCCCAAACCGGUUCCAUAAGAGGUGAAGCUGAGUUGUAUGGUGUGUGCACCAUCUCAUUGGUGUUGCUGCACCUGUUUAGGCCAUGAUCCAGAGCUUCUUGUGUCCAAGCACACUGAUUCUAAGGCACAAGAGCUCACUGGCCAAUCCCUAGGCUGUGUUGGACUCCACUCUUUUUCCCUUGCAAGGUUUUAUCCCAUGAGGUUUUCCUUGUAAGGUUUUUAAUGAGGGAGCUUCUUCACAGUUCCAAGCUUGUCCAAGGAUCUCCUAUGGUCAAGCUUGAGGGGGAGUGUUGGAAUGAAGAUAAAUAAAGCAGGAGUUGAUGAGAGAUCAAGCAAAACCGGAGCAAGCAAAUUAAGCAUCCGGAACAAGCUAUUUUGUACAGUCUUGGUUUGCAAGUAACCUAGAGUGUCUUGGAAGUCAAGGCAGAGUGGGAACUCGUCAAACUGAAUAUUCUGAGGCAUAUUUGAAGUUUAAAAGAGAGAUCAGACUGUUGGAGAGAUAUCAGGCAAGUUGGAGAAUUAAUUAAGAUAAAAGUCACAUGUGCAUAAGAGGUUGAACCUGCUGUCACUUUCACUCAACCAGACUGUGCCUGCUCUCUCUCCUGUCACUCUCACUGCUCCUGGUCGAGAUUCAGCCCUGCUGCAUCCUCCUGGCUUCAUCAGAAAACCCUACAAUAUUAUUUGUUUAGUAAAAUCCUGUUUUAGUAGUUGUUUAAUGUGUGUGCUUGUCUAUUUAAGACAUUGCUGUAUCUCAUUGUAAACUAAGGAGAGUAAAACUCUUUCUUCACUA